CAGUCGCCGCGGUAAUACGAAGGGGGCUAGCGUUGUUCGGAAUUACUGGGCGUAAAGGGUGCGUAGGCGGCCAUUCAAGUUAGAUGUGAAAGCCCUGGGCUCAACCUAGGAAUUGCAUUUGAUACUGUUUGGCUUGAGUUCGGGAGAGGUGAGUGGAAUUCCCAGUGUAGAGGUGAAAUUCGUAGAUAUUGGGAAGAACACCAGUGGCGAAGGCGGCUCACUGGACCGACACUGACGCUGAGGCGCGAAAGCGUGGGGAGCAAACAGGAUUAGAUACCCCGGUAGUCCCUGUCUCUUAUAC
Molecule: ribosomal RNA, 301 nt
Filed under: uncultured bacterium
Lineage: Bacteria
Description: partial 16S ribosomal RNA
Rfam family: Bacterial small subunit ribosomal RNA
Source: RNAcentral